GGAGGAGCGCGGCCGCGGGCCGGUGACUCAGAGCUGGCUGCGAGCGGCUUCGGCGGCUCCUCUGCAGCGGCUGCGGGAGCGGAGGGACAGGGGGAGGCUGCGCCCGUGCCGGGGCCAGCGGGGACGGAGCGGGCUGGGGAGGAUGCUCGGGAAGGAGCCAGGUGCGGGGCAGCGUGGGGGUGGGAUGCCGGCUCUCCCUCCGGAGUUUUUUUGGGGUUUAGUGGAGUUUCUUUGGGGUUUACUCGGGCUCCUCUCCGCAGGGAGCAGCAGGCAGAGCCGGCCGGGCUCCCCGCGUCUCCGGAUGAAGGUAAGGGCAGUGGGGAUGGGGGGAGAGGGGUUGUUUCAUGCACCCUGCUGAGCAGCAUCACGUGGGUUUGGGAAGGGGGCCCCUCUCCCUGCAUCCCCACACCCCCUCCAGCUUGGGGAGCACGAAGGGGUCCCCUAAAGCUGCUCCUGAGCACUGGGGAUAUCCUUAAAAAUGUGGAGGUGUUUGGGGGGACACCCGCCAGCCUGUGCCUGCUGGGAAGCUCCUGGAGUUUUUGUUUUUUUGGGGGGUCUCCAUCAAGGCUGGUGCGAGGCUGGCAAGGGGACGCUGCCACCCCGCUGCCACCGCCCUCUCUGUCCCCAGGGAGGAUGAGCAGUCCCCAGGGGCACCCGGACGGGGUCGUGGCCGGGAGCGAGCAGAGCACGGAGCGCGUCAGCGAGGAGCCGGGCAAGGACAGGCAGGAGCUGGCCGUGCGCACCGGGGACAGUGACGGCACCGAGGAAGGUGAGUCCCUGUCCGGGUCCCGGGCUGGGUCCCCUCGUGGGGGGGCUUGAAGUGUCUGGGGUGUUGGGAUCUGAUGGGGUUUGGCUCCCAUGGUGGAGACCCAGGGACUGGUUUGGGGGAUGUGAAACCCUGCUGGUGCUGGGGGAAGGAUCGGGGCGCUCUCACGCUGGGACAGGAGGGCAGAGGGAGGAGGAGAAGCAGACCAAAGCCUCCACGAGCGGUCUCUCCAGCGGUGUCACU
This 1009-nucleotide long non-coding RNA is filed under the name Cairina moschata (Muscovy duck). RNAcentral's name for it is "domestica (muscovy Duck (domestic type)) lncRNA (ENSCMMG00000010390.1)". Lineage: Eukaryota; Metazoa; Chordata; Aves; Anseriformes; Anatidae. The record is from RNAcentral.